This 1681-nucleotide unclassified non-coding RNA is filed under the name Hevea brasiliensis (rubber tree). Lineage: Eukaryota; Viridiplantae; Streptophyta; Magnoliopsida; Malpighiales; Euphorbiaceae. The record is from RNAcentral.
CAAACCGCAGGCGGUGUCUCACAACUACUAGUCUUUUGAACGAGAGAAGACUGAUUGGUAACCUUAGUUUCCUCACCUUCCGCUCCAUGGCCUCUUCUCGACAGAGACUCCAAGAAUGGCACAAGCAGGGCAAAGUUCAGCUCCUUCUUCUUCAGUUGGUAGGGAUUCUGGAGCUACUGCCUCUCCUUCUUUUUAUUCUUCCGUCAAUGGAGAAUCUUCUGGCGCUGCGUCAUCGUCUUAUUCUGGUGCUCGCGAAGAAGUGCACCAAUUUGGAGACUUAGAGUCGGAGCAGCAACACAUUGGUCUAUUUCGACGAAAUUUUCUUGACUUCGAUGAUGCAUCACCGAUUAGAGAUGAUACUUGGUCUUGUGUUAUUGUUGUCUUCACUUUUUGGUUCUUCGGUUGGUAUUUUUAGGAUUUUUUUUUUAAGUGUGUGAUAGAAGUAAUUGAUUCUCAGUCGUGCAUUUUCAGAUUGGCUAGUAGACCAAAUUUUUUAAUUAUUUUAUUGUUGAAUUUGCUUGUUAUUUUCAUAAUUUGACCAUGAACUGUUGAUUUUUCAGUAUCAAUGACUCUGAUUUUGGGAGUCUAUGGUUCUGUGAGUAUAAUCAUAGGACCCAAUACCUCAGCUCUUAUUCAAACGAGUCCCUUUUUUGUGCAGUCUGUAAAGGUAAAAUUUCCUUUUCAUUCGUAGUUCUUUUUGAUGUUUUAUCAUAAUCUUUCAGUAAUUUGGAUAGGCUCUUACUAGGUGGAAGAGGUGGAUAGUAAUAAUCCUGAGCUAAUUCUAUAUGGAUUUUAUAAAUCUCCAUCACUUGAUGUUGUGAAGUCCUGGACCAAAUCUGUUAAUGUCUCUGUUCCAGCAGAUUCCCAUAAGGCAAGUUUAAUUUUCAGAUAAUGUUGCCUGCAAUAUAUCAACCCAAUUCUGCUAUGAAUGUAUUUUAGAUGUUCGUAAUGAUAAGAUAUAGACUAUGAAUCAUUUUAUCUUUUCAGGAGUGGAUAUAUUUCCUGAAUAAGGGAUCUCAAAUAAAUAUUUCAUACCAUGUGAACUCCCCGAGCUCAUCGCUUUUUCUUGUAAUUGCCCAAGGUACUUUUAGAACUUCAUUAGUAGAUAUUCUUUGCAAAAUCAUCUCUUUACCUUCCCUUUUUUUUCCUCUUCCUCAUAGUAGUCAUUUGUAUAUACUCUUAAGAUUGCAUACAAAAGCAUCAAGUCAUGGAAAUUGAAGGCUUGUUUCUUUUUUUCAAGCAUAAAGUUUGGGCAAAAUACAUAUUCUUACUGAAUGCAUGUGAAAGCAUCAUAUUCACGGAAAUUGAAUGCCUUCAUUUUUUUAAUCUUUUUCUGUAUGCAGUUCGGAAUUUGGAUGUAUUUUUAUAUCCCAAUGAAACAUGUAAGAGUACUGUAGCUAUCCUAAUGAAUAAUUUUAAGCAGAGAAAGCCGGAAAUUGUGAUAUUUCUUAAGCAUUAAGACUAUAUGUUCUUAUAUAGGUUCUCAUUGCUUCUAUUGGCAACUGACUCUCACAAAUAUGUUGUAGACGACACAGUCACACAAGUAAAGUGAAGCUAACAAUGGAAGGCAAUUGCCUAUUUUUCUGUUGAUGCCCCUUUAAUCACUUAUCUGUGUUUCACAAUGCUGACAGCUUCUUAAUCAUUGCCCACACCUGAGAAAAACAUAGUUGAUUUAUCUAUA